CGGGGCAGUUACAAGCUCCUGUUCAGAUUAAAGGAGUGGGAAUAUAAAGCCUACCUCUCAGUAAAAGGAAUGUCAGUCACAUUAUAAGAUGGAGAUGUGAGAUAGGAUAUACAGAUGGAGUGUCCCUCUGUCACCUAGGCUGGAGUGCAGUGGUGCCAUCUUACCUCACUGCAACCUUCACCUCCGGGUUCAAGCGAUUCUUCUGGCUCAGCCUCCCAAGUAGCUGGGAUUAUAGUGAGUUUAGCCAGCAGAAUGGUGCUUCUUUUUCCAGUGCUCCUUAUACCAUGUAUAGUGAUUGGGAGGAAGACUGUUAAGGUUUGUGUCCAGAUAGCACCCAAAUUCUG
Long non-coding RNA from Pongo pygmaeus (Bornean orangutan), 344 nucleotides. RefSeq lists it as uncharacterized. The record is from RefSeq and is a predicted model, not a curated record. NCBI's taxonomy places the organism in Eukaryota, Metazoa, Chordata, Mammalia, Primates, Hominidae. The transcript is spliced from 3 exons.